RNAcentral lists this unclassified non-coding RNA (334 nucleotides) under soil metagenome. Its description in RNAcentral is "partial contains 5.8S ribosomal RNA, internal transcribed spacer 2, and large subunit ribosomal RNA". The stretch from base 1 to 120 matches the Rfam family "5.8S ribosomal RNA", at positions 35 to 154 of the family's 154-position model. The record is from RNAcentral.
GAUGAAGAACGCAGCGAAAUGCGAUAAGUAAUGUGAAUUGCAGAAUUCAGUGAAUCAUCGAAUCUUUGAACGCACAUUGCGCCCGCCAGUAUUCUGGCGGGCAUGCCUGUUCGAGCGUCAUUUCAACCAUCAAGCCCUCGGCUUGUGUUGGGGACCUGCGGCUGCCGCAGGCCCUGAAAACCAGUGGCGGGCUCGCUAGUCACUCCGAGCGUAGUAAUACAUCUCGCUCAGGGCGUGCUGCGGGUUCCGGCCGUUAAAAGCCUUAUUUACCCAAGGUUGACCUCGGAUCAGGUAGGAAGACCCGCUGAACUUAAGCAUAUCAAUAAGCGGAGGA